RNAcentral lists this ribosomal RNA (436 nucleotides) under uncultured bacterium. RNAcentral's name for it is "bacterial SSU rRNA". It matches the Rfam family "Bacterial small subunit ribosomal RNA", at positions 29 to 506 of the family's 1533-position model. The record is from RNAcentral.
AACGAACGCUGGCGGCAGGCCUAACACACGCAAGUCGAACGCCCGUAGCAAUACGGGAGUGGCAGACGGGUGAGUAACGCGUGGGAACGUGCCCUUCGGUUCGGAAUAACUCAGGGAAACUUGAGCUAAUACCGGAUACGUCCGUAAGGAGAAAGAUUUAUUGCCGAAGGAUCGGCCCGCGUCGGAUUAGCUAGUUGGUGGGUAACGGCCCACCAAGGCGACGAUCCGUAGCUGGUCUGAGAGGAUGANCAGCCACACUGGGACUGAGACACGGCCCAGACUCCUACGGGAGGGCAGCAGUGGGGGAAUAUUGGACAAUGGGCGAAAGCCUGAUCCAGCCAUGCCGCGUGAUGAAGAAAGGCCUUAGGGUUGUAAAAGCUCUUUCAGCGGGGAAGAUAAUGACGGUACCCGCAGAAGAAGUCCCGGCUAACUUCGU